AUGACCGAGGAAGACGUCGCGGCAGCGGCCGUGUACAGAGCCAAGGCGGAGGAGGCGCGCAGGAGCCAUGAGCGAAGGGAGCAGCACGACGCCGUGACCAGGUGGAUCGCCACGGGAGACCCCGAGGCCGUCCAGCGCUGCAACCAGUGGAUGGAGCAGGACAUUGAGGCCAUGAGGCUCAAGGACAUCGCCCCACCGAGGAUCUGUCGGACUGGGAGGCCGUCGAAGCCAAGAGGCAUCGAGAAUUCUGGGACACCUAUCCUGCCCAUGCGUUACACGGACGAGAAGCCUCCGCGCGGUACGGCCUACCCCGUGCGAACUCUGCAGGUCUUUUCGGUCAGCGUUGCAGCCAUCAAAGGUGGAUUGGACUGGCCUCUGGAUGUGUAUGGUGUCGUCGCCGCACGCGACUCGUUGGAUCACAAUCGCAACAUUAUCUUCCACCGCACUAGGGAUAACUGCCAAACCAUUGACAAGAAGGUUACUUCAUCAAUGAGGGGCCGGAGGGAGAGCUUGGCAGGGCGGCAUGACGGGCUGGUCUGCACCAGCAGAACGGAGGGAGAGAUUGAAAAAGAGUGUCCGCCUGCAGUGGCACGGAAGAAGAGUUUGAAAGCAGCACGGGCGGCUGCUCUGCGGCUGGUAUUGAAGGUAGAGCUUGGCAAGAGAGAAUGGGAGAGCUCUACUGCCUCGAGCAUCGCAUCCAGCCCCAAUGGCAUCAUGCCCACUUGCCCGGCAAUUUCUCCACCUUUGCCAUGGGAUGGGAACCAAGCUUACACAAUAGAGGCUAUUGAGUUGUAUUGUCAGAAUCCAUGUCUGAGACGGACAGGUCCUACCCGCGCUGUUGUUGUUGUGGAUCCUGUGUACUUUGAGGUUAACUUGCGAGUAAAGGGCAAAACUGAAUCUGGGGAUAGAGAUUUGAGCUAUCUGGCUGUUUAUUAUCGUGAUUCUGGCUCUAGCGAAUCGUACGCGUUUAAAAAUGUCAGCACUAGCAAGCUUAGCACAGUGGCAUUGAUGUUGGGUGAUAUUGUUCAUUCAGUGGAGGCCACCAUCAGUGUGAGAGUGGUUCGUGGGGAAUGGUCGGAAGGUUGUAGAGGUCUAAUUUUUGCCAAUACCGCCAGUAUCGACGCCCAAAAAAUUGAGUUGCUUGCGUUCGGAGAUGAUAAGUUGCCUGUUGUAGCUAAUGGCACGAUAAAGCUUUCACGGUGUGUUGUAUCUGUUGAAGCUGAUGGAGAGUUGAGAGUCUGUGUCAUGGCAAGUAGCCUGGAGGAUCAAACUGUUGAGAGAGAUUCAGAAGCAUUCAAAGCCAAGAAAGCCUCCAGGAGCAGGCACCUUGUCUUCUGGCUGUCCCAAGCGCGGCACUGCUGCAUGGUUGGGGCAGGUGGAGCUGUGGUUCGGAAGGGCGUCGUUGGGUGUUCCUGUAUCGGGAGCACAACGAAGAGCUCCAAGGCAUUUGGCUUUGCUUUGUUGGCGUCAAAAUAUUCAUCCCUCGGCCUCUGUUUCCUUGCCUCCUGCUGGGUGGGAGCGGCUGAUGUGAAUGAGGCUGCGCAAAAUGAAGGAGGGGACGACGAAGGCGGCGGAGGAGGCGGAGAGGAGGAAGACAGCCCACGCCCCCAAAAACAAAAAGAAGAGCGCGCGGAAGGCGGCGGCUCUGGAGUGGGCGAGGAAGAGCUUGGAGGCGGAGAGGGCCAAGGACAGGAGCGUCUUCAAGCCCAAGACGAUGACCGAGGAGGACGUCGCGGCGGCGGCCGGAGGAACCAGGACCGGAAGGGGGAGCUGGACGCCGUCAUCAAGUGGAUCGCCACGGGAGACCCCGAGGAAAUCAGGAUCUCGAACCAGUGGGUCGAGGAAAACAUGGAGGCCAUGAAGCUGCAGGCGCUCGACCCCACUGACUACUGGGAGGCCGUCGAUGCCAGGAGGCACCGGGAAUCCGGCGAAUCUCUGCGGGUCGACUCCUUCGGUCCCUCACCCACCCAGCCCAUGUGUUACACGGACGACAAGCCUCCGCGUGGACGCGGUACAGCCUACCCUGUGCGUACUCUGCAGGUCUUUUCGGUCAGGGUUGGAGCCAUCACAGGUGGAUUGGACUGGCCUCUCGAUGUGUAUGGUAUCAUUGCCGCACGCGACUCAUUUGAUCAGAAUCGCAACAUCAUCUUCAACCGCUCCAGGGAUAACUGCCAAACCAUUGACACGAAGAAUCCAUGUCUGAGACUGACAGGUCCUACCCGCGCUGUUGUUGUUGUGGAUCCUGCGUCCUUUGAGGUUAACUUGCGAGUUAAGGGCAGAACUGAAUCAGAGGACAGAGAAUUGAGUAAUCUAGUUUUUUAUUAUCAUGAUUCUGGUUCUAGUGAAUCAUACGUGAUUAAACGUGUCAGCACCAGCAAGCUUAGCACAGUGGCAUUGAUGCUGGGUGAUAUUGUUAAUUCAGUGGAGGCCACCAUCAGUGUGAGAGUUGUUGGUGGGGAAUGGCCAGGAGCUAAUGGAGAGUUGAUAGUCUCCGUCAUGGCAAGUAGCUUGGAGGAUCAAACUGUUGAGAGAGAUUCAGAAGCAUUCAGAGCCAAGAAAGCCUCCAGGAGCAUGCGUAUGCUUGAAGUUCACCGUUGUAAGUUUGAAGUCACCGUCGCAUGGUCUCUUGUCCAGAACCUACCUUAUUUCCACAAACUUACAAAUGAUGUCUCCGUCAUGGCAAGUAGCUUGGAGGAUCAAACUGUUGAGAGAGAUUCAGAAGCAUUCAGAGCCAAGAAAGCCUCCAGGAGCAUGCGUAUGCUUGAAGUUCACCGUUGUAAGUUUGAAGUCACCGUCGCAUGGUCUCUUGUCCAGAACCUACCUUAUUUCCACAAACUUACAAAUGAUGUCUGA
Molecule: ribosomal RNA, 2853 nt
Filed under: Triticum aestivum (bread wheat)
Lineage: Eukaryota; Viridiplantae; Streptophyta; Magnoliopsida; Poales; Poaceae
Description: partial small subunit ribosomal RNA
Source: RNAcentral